UGGGGAAUAUUGCACAAUGGGGGAAGACCCUGAUGCAGCGACGCCGCGUGAAGGAAGAAGUAUUUCGGUAUGUAAACUUCUAUCAGCAGGGAAGAAAAUGACGGUACCUGACUAAGAAGCCCCGGCUAACUACGUGCCAGCAGCCGCGGUAAUACGUAGGGGGCGAAGCGUUAUCCGGAUUUACUGGGUGUAAAGGGAGCGUAGGCGGCGAUGCAAGUCAGAAGUGAAAGCCCGGGGCUCAACUUCUGGAUUGCAUUGGAAACUGUCAGGCUGGAGUGCCGGAGAGGUAAGCGGAAUUCCUAGUGUAGCGGUGAAAUGCGUAGAUAUUAGGAGGAACACCAGUGGCGAAGGCGGAUUACUGGACGGUAACUGACGUUGAGGCUCGAAAGCGUGGGGAGCAAACAGGAUUAGAUACC
This 416-nucleotide ribosomal RNA is filed under the name uncultured bacterium. Its description in RNAcentral is "bacterial SSU rRNA". It matches the Rfam family "Bacterial small subunit ribosomal RNA", at positions 355 to 786 of the family's 1533-position model. The record is from RNAcentral.